AAAUUUACUUCGGUAAAUGGACAGCGGCGAAAGGGACAGUAAUGUGUAGGUACCUACCCUCUGAUCUGGGAUAGCUGCGGGAAACUGCAGGUAAUACCGGAUAAUGUCUUCGGACCAAAGGUGUGAUUCCGUCUGAGGAGGGGCCUGCAUCCUAUUAGCUUGUUGGUGAGGUAAUGGCUCACCAAGGCAACGAUGGGUAGCGGGUGUGAGAGCAUGACCCGCGUCAUUGGGACUGAGACACUGCCCAGACAUCUACGGAUGGCUGCAGUCGAGAAUCUUCGGCAAUGGGCGAAAGCCUGACCGAGCGACGCCGCGUGCGGGAUGAAGGCCCUCGGGUUGUAAACCGCUGUCGUUGGGGAGGAAAUGCAUGAGGGCUAUCCCUCUUGUU
RNAcentral lists this ribosomal RNA (388 nucleotides) under uncultured Planctomycetales bacterium. RNAcentral's name for it is "bacterial SSU rRNA". It matches the Rfam family "Bacterial small subunit ribosomal RNA", at positions 71 to 469 of the family's 1533-position model. Lineage: Bacteria; Pseudomonadati; Planctomycetota; Planctomycetia; Planctomycetales. The record is from RNAcentral.